UACAGAGGGGGCAAGCGUUGUUCGGAAUUACUGGGCGUAAGGGGCGCGUAGGCGGCCUGCUAAGUCGAACGUGAAAUCCCCGGGCUCAACCCGGGAACUGCGUCCGAUACUGGCAGGCUUGAAUCCGGGAGAGGGAUGUGGAAUUCCAGGUGUAGCGGUGAAAUGCGUAGAUAUCUGGAGGAACACCGGUGGCGAAGGCGGCAUCCUGGACCGGUAUUGACGCUGAUGCGCGAAAGCCAGGGGAGCAAACGGG
RNAcentral lists this ribosomal RNA (253 nucleotides) under uncultured bacterium. Its description in RNAcentral is "partial 16S ribosomal RNA". It matches the Rfam family "Bacterial small subunit ribosomal RNA", at positions 524 to 776 of the family's 1533-position model. The record is from RNAcentral.